GUUAGGUGGGGGUAACAUAGAAA
RNAcentral lists this non-coding RNA (23 nucleotides) under Cricetulus griseus (Chinese hamster). The record is from RNAcentral. Lineage: Eukaryota; Metazoa; Chordata; Mammalia; Rodentia; Cricetidae.